GAUGAACGCUGGCGGCGUGCCUAAUACAUGCAAGUCGAGCGGAGAGACGAGGUACUUGUUCCUCUGACGUUAGCGGCGGACGGGUGAGUAACACGUGGAUAACCUACCUAUAAGACGGGGAUAACUUCGGGAAACGGGAGCUAAUACCGGAUAAUAUCUUGAACCGCAUGGUUCAAUAGUGAAAGACGGUUUUGCUUUACCUAAUAGAUGUAUCCGCGUCGCAUUGGUUAGUUGGUAAGGUAACGGCCUACCAAGGCAAGGUAGCUAAGCCGACUGGAGAGGGUGAUCGCCAACUCUGGAACUGGACCACGCUCCAGACUCCUACGGGAGGCAGAAGUAGGGAAUCUUCCGCAAGGGGGGAAAGCCUGCCGGAGCACGGCGGCGUGAUUGAUGAAGUUCUCCGGUCCGUAAAACCCGGUUAUUAGGGAAGAAGAAAGGUGGAAUGAACUACGCACGUAGUGACGGUAACUAAUCAGAAAGCCACGGCUAACUACGUG
This 497-nucleotide ribosomal RNA is filed under the name uncultured bacterium. RNAcentral's name for it is "partial 16S ribosomal RNA". It matches the Rfam family "Bacterial small subunit ribosomal RNA", at positions 28 to 507 of the family's 1533-position model. The record is from RNAcentral.